Molecule: unclassified non-coding RNA, 1622 nt
Filed under: Hevea brasiliensis (rubber tree)
Lineage: Eukaryota; Viridiplantae; Streptophyta; Magnoliopsida; Malpighiales; Euphorbiaceae
Source: RNAcentral
AUUCAUAUAAAAAAAUAUUCCAAAAUAAGAGCAGUGUCACGAAUAUAAUAAUAUUAAAGAUAGAAAGAAAGAGGAAUGGAAAUGAUUAAACUUUAUUUCUUUUACAUUUAGUAAAGGUUAAUUUUUAGAAGACAGAAGCACAUGGUUGAUCAUGCUGUCCAAAUUCUGGAAAGAUGAACCUUUGGGACUAGUAGCAGCCGCUUCUGCAAUUUUCCUCCAUUCCAUGGCUUUCUUCUUCAUUUCCUUCCCCUUCUCUCCUUCCAUUAACACUCUCACAAGCAUCUCUACUUCAUCUCUCUUCACAUCACUGCUCAUCUCCAUGCCUAUGCCCCAUUCUAAGCAGCAGUAUCGGCAAUUCAAUUGUUGCUCCGCCGAGUGAGGCAAACAAAUCAUUGGCACCCCUCCGCAAAUGCUUUCAAGUGUUGAGUUCCACCCACUGUGUGUUAAGAACCCUCCAAUAGAUGGGUGGCUUAGCACUUGUUCCUGGGGGCACCAGCUUGCUAAAAAACCUCUUUCUUUGGUCAUUGUCAUAAACUCCGGCGGAAGAACCGCGGUGGCGCCGGAAACAAGGUUAGGCCUAAUGACCCACAAAAAAUUUUUGUUGCUAUUAGCAAGUCCCCAAGCAAUCUCUACCAAUUUUUCUCUUUUCGUGACAAUCGCGCUUCCAAAAUUGAUGUAAAUAACCGAGUUGGGUUCUUUUGAGUCGAGCCAGUCGAGACAUCCAGAUUCUUCUUUCCAUAAGUUUGAUCCAAUGGACUUUAGCCCACUAUCUUUCACCUUAUUGAGGAGAAGUUGAAGCGAGCCGAUGGAGUAUACAUAAGGCAAUUUUGGUAAUGAAGAAAGUGCAGCUAAAACCUCAUGCUCCAACGCAUCAAACGUAUUCAAUACAAUAGCAGAUGCCUUUUGAGCUCUUUCAGUCUCUGAGAUUAGAAAAUUUAGCAUGAAGUUUUCAGGAUCUGUAGUUCUGAUAAAACUUGGGAUGUCCCUCAAGCGGAUACCUUUCAUGCCUGGAAUCCAAUCUAUAACAGUAUCCAGAUGACCAUUUGUUAAGUAACUCUCAUCUUUAAAUGGUAUGAGACCCUUCUCAAUUAAGUGGCGAAAGUGAAGAUAGGCCAUAAAGCCACAAGCACUUGUAGUCCAAAAAAAUACUUGAGGAAUGCCAAGCUCUUGUGCUGCAUCGAGUGUGAAGCUCAUGACCCCAUCUGAAACUAUGCAAGUUACCGGAGGAACAUUGGAUGAAGAAGUGUGAUUGAGCUCUGAAAGCAGGGUUCUAAGAGGAGCUAAGCAAGUUGUAGACAUGGACUGGGAUAGGAAGGGUGUGUCACGGCCGGAAUUGGUGCGGGUGAUGGUCGGAGGGAGGCCGUCAGGGAUUGUACGGAAAUGAAAGGAAGGCAGGCCAUUGAGAGGGUCGGGUCCUAUAGAUUGAAGGAGGCGUUUGUGGGUGUGCUCGGUGUGAAGGAAGGUAAUAUGGAAGCCGUUGUGGUGGAGGAGUUUGGCUAGUUUUAGCAUGGGAUUUAUGUGACCUUGAGACGGAAAAGGAAUGCAUAGUGCAUGAGGCUUUUCAAGAAUGGCUAUGGACUCCAUUGUUGUUGGCUCUCUCUCUCUUGACACAAUUUGUCAAC